GGAGGGGAUUAGUGGCGAACGGGUGAGUAACACGUGGGCAAUCUGCCCUGCACUCUGGGACAAGCCCUGGAAACGGGGUCUAAUACCGGAUACUGACCCGCUUGGGCAUCCAAGCGGUUCGAAAGCUCCGGCGGUGCAGGAUGAGCCCGCGGCCUAUCAGCUUGUUGGUGAGGUAAUGGCUCACCAAGGCGACGACGGGUAGCCGGCCUGAGAGGGCGACCGGCCACACUGGGACUGAGACACGGCCCAGACUCCUACGGGAGGCAGCAGUGGGGAAUAUUGCACAAUGGGCGAAAGCCUGAUGCAGCGACGCCGCGUGAGGGAUGACGGCCUUCGGGUUGUAAACCUCUUUCAGCAGGGAAGAAGCGAAAGUGACGGUACCUGCAGAAGAAGCGCCGGCUAACUACGUGCCAGCAGCCGCGGUAAUACGUAGGGCGCGAGCGUUGUCCGGAAUUAUUGGGCGUAAAGAGCUCGUAGGCGGCUUGUCACGUCGGUUGUGAAAGCCCGGGGCUUAACCCCGGGUCUGCAGUCGAUACGGGCAGGCUAGAGUUCGGUAGGGGAGAUCGGAAUUCCUGGUGUAGCGGUGAAAUGCGCAGAUAUCAGGAGGAACACCGGUGGCGAAGGCGGAUCUCUGGGCCGAUACUGACGCUGAGGAGCGAAAGCGUGGGGAGCGAACAGGAUUAGAUACCCUGGUAGUCCACGCCGUAAACGGUGGGCACUAGGUGUGGGCGACAUUCCACGUCGUCCGUGCCGCAGCUAACGC
RNAcentral lists this ribosomal RNA (763 nucleotides) under Streptomyces variabilis. Its description in RNAcentral is "bacterial SSU rRNA". It matches the Rfam family "Bacterial small subunit ribosomal RNA", at positions 84 to 858 of the family's 1533-position model. Lineage: Bacteria; Bacillati; Actinomycetota; Actinomycetes; Kitasatosporales; Streptomycetaceae. The record is from RNAcentral.